RNAcentral lists this non-coding RNA (23 nucleotides) under Arabidopsis thaliana (thale cress). The record is from RNAcentral. Lineage: Eukaryota; Viridiplantae; Streptophyta; Magnoliopsida; Brassicales; Brassicaceae.
AUAUUAAUUUAGGAUGACAUGUG